UAUGCGGCUUCAGAGCCAGAGCUGAAUGGAACGGAAGAAAGCAAAAGCCCUUCUGGUUCGCGCUAUAUACUCUUGGAAUAACGGAGCGCAGAGGGUCGGUAAUAUUGUCCUUCGGUAAUGGGCUGUUCUCCCCUCUCUCCCUCCUCUUCUUUCUUUCUCUCACUUUUGCGCUCUUCUUUUUCCUCUCUUUCUCUAUCUUGCCACACUUUGCUUUUUCUCUCGCAGGCUCUUCUCGCGCCCAUGACUUUUUUGCCUUUUCACCCUUUUCACACUCUCAUAUCUGUUAAAUUCUUAACUUUUUUCCUGUUUUCUAUAUCCUCAUUUUUUUCCUGCAGCAGUCUUUUCCUUUAUUUCGGAUUACACUUGGGCGUAUAGGUAUGUAUUAUUUCAAGUACAAUGGUACCGUUAAAGCGCUGCAUUUUACUAAAGUGUCUGGCGGUUGUAAAUAUUUUUUUAUCGCACUCGUAAAAUUGCUCGAGGUUUUUCUGAGACGCAAUUUUAACAUACCUUGAAAAUAACAUUCCUAAGAUAUGUAGAAAAUUUUUAGAACAUUUCCUAAAUGACAUUUUAAUAUGUGAACAAUACAAAGUAAUCGACUGUGCUUAUUAUUUUAUUUAAAUAAACAUUUAGAAGGUCUAUGUUUUAAUGUUAUGCUAUUGUGGGUCAUCGAUAUAUUAAAGUGCAUAAUUUUAAAACUGAGUUGUGAAAGACUUUGCCAGCUGAACUUCUCGAUCGUUCAUCGGUCGUCUACGAUACACAAACGUCGCGCUGAGCAUUUUCAAUAACAACGUUUUUCUCGGGUGCGUUGGAUCUCAUUCAUUAAAACUCAAAAUGAAAUUUAUUAUUUUCCUUAUUCUUACCAUUGCUUACCUUGCUUUAUCCACUGAGGGUAUGUGUAAACAGUUGUAUUAAAUUUGAAACUAUACACUUAUACACUGAGAAUUAAAUUUACGUCUUUUGUGAAUUCCUUAUGCACAAUAUCAUUGUUUUUCACAGACCGUAUUGGGGCAAUAAAACCGAUAUGCAUUAAAAACUGCAAAGAUCGAGGAUUAGAUAAAGAAUAAAUACUUCAGUACUGACCCAGAGAGAGAGAGAGAGAGAGAGAGAGAGAGAGAUAGCAUGCAUAGCAUGGCAUUCCAUACAAAUCUACGAAUCCAUGUAUUAUAAAUUUGACUAUUGAAUAAAAGACCGAAUAAAUGUUUCCUUUCAACCCAG
Long non-coding RNA from Nasonia vitripennis (jewel wasp), 1215 nucleotides. RefSeq lists it as uncharacterized. The transcript is spliced from 2 exons. The record is from RefSeq and is a predicted model, not a curated record. Lineage: Eukaryota; Metazoa; Arthropoda; Insecta; Hymenoptera; Pteromalidae.